RNAcentral lists this long non-coding RNA (322 nucleotides) under Gallus gallus (chicken). RNAcentral describes it as "lncRNA (ENSGALG00010025095.1)". Lineage: Eukaryota; Metazoa; Chordata; Aves; Galliformes; Phasianidae. The record is from RNAcentral.
UCUGCCUCUCUGCCAACUGCCAAACAUCAUCCAUCCAAGGGAAGGGGAGGGGGGGAUGCGUGUUCCAAGCAGCGCAUUUAGCGGUAUUUAACUUUGUCUAGAAUCAUGGCUGGAUGUAGGCACGAGGCAUCGCUCAGAGCAGUCAAAAAUAGGAGACGCUUAAGAGAUGUGAACUUCUCUCAUUGCACCUAACUCAAGAGCGAAGACACCGAGGGACCCCGAAGGCUGCUGGCUGUGCAGACUGGUCUCUGUGUCAGAGAGGCAAACACGCUGAUGAAGAAGCAUUUGAGGAAGGCAAACAAACCAGCUAUAACAAGACCAG